GAAAGUUCUCUGCCUUGGUAUCACGAGGAAACACUACCUCACUGCCUUCUAGCCCCAGCUAGUGAUGAAACACCCCGUGGCUCCUCCUCUUGGCUUUAUUAGCAUGGGGACACCUCCAGCAUAUAAUCGUCUCCAUGCUCUGUCUUGAUAAUCGGGAGCUCAGGAAUUCUGGCAGCUCCUUUUUUUCACCUUCUUGCUGUUUGUUUCCUCACCUCUGGCUGUCUCGAGGAUAAGCAUCAUGGAAGCACCAAACUUGCUAGAAAAUGGAACUAUUGCACAGAAAAGGAAGUUCUCCUGCAGUCAAGUGGCUUUUUAUGCAUCAGCAUUUCUCUCAACUCUGAUUUCUGUCCUGGUUCCUAUAGUCUUCUGUAUGCUCCGUCAUAAGCAGGCACCAGGGACGUGCUGGGCCCAUGGGUCUUUGAAAGUCACCUCUACAUCUGUCAUGACCUGGGAGUGGAACUUAACACACUGCGAUGGAUUUGUGGAGAAGGAUCCUAUAUACCUGACAAUCACGAAGAGCGGCAACUACUUCAUCUAUGCUCAGUUCAACCGCAAAAAAGAUACAAAUGAGUCUUUUACAGUGGUACUGAACAAAGAGCCAGGCAUCCUUCUCAACAAGGUUGUGGGACCAAACAUGGGAGAUAAGGCUACAGUAAAUUUUGGGAGACCUUUCUCCCUGCACAAGGGAGAUAAGCUGCGCUGUUGGAUUAAUUUUAAGCUUGACUACAUUCUGGCAGAGAAUCAGACUUACUGGGGCCUGUAUAAAAUAUAGCAGGAUUCUGCUCUGAGUUAACUCCUCCCUUACUCCUUCCAGGAAACCUUAGGGCACUUAUCAUCAUGGCUGAAGAGUUUCUGAUUUCUCUUUGAAUGAAAUUCAAGUUGAUGGAGUAAACAUCAUAGUCAGGCUAGUAUCCUGCAGUGACGGACUAAGAUGCAGAACUAAGUGAAUAGGAAACUUUGGUAAUAAUGGAUAUCAACUGACUGUCAUGAGGUAUGAGAGAAAGAUGCUUCUGUGGGGAAAAGACCUUAAAGCUUUUACAGGGGAUGACCCUAAGAUCCUGGAAAAAUGAGUUAUUAUAUUCAACCUAUGCUGAGCUGGGGAGGAGUUCUGCUGUGUAGCUGGUUGCAUUUCAGAGCUGGGUGCAUGUCAGUACCUGGGGGUCCCUUCUAAUGAAAGGUGCUAUGUAAAGAUAAGGUAUUCUAUAUCAUUCCUGCACAGCCUGCCCAUGAAGCAAUGUGUCUAACGCACAGGGACAGAACAGUUCAGAGACAGUCUGUGAUGGAAGGAAAGCUUCUCACCUCCAUCUACAGCUUUGCCCUCUCUAUGCCAUCAGCAAGGGAAAUUCCACAUCAGAGUUUCCCCAGGAAAGCUCCAUCUUUUUGGGUAGUUCAGAGCACAAGAACCUUUUUGUUCAAGCACAAGCAGCAGUGCGCCUCUAUGAAUUCAUGUCAGUUCACUCACUGGGUCCAGAGGCACACAACACACUGAGCUCGCCCUUCCAGUCAAUGCGGCCGCUUGCAUCCGGCUGCCAUACAGGGUGCAUCUAUGCUGGCUGAGUAGCCUAGAAAUACAGUGGUGCAAUAUGCAAGCAGAUACUGUAGAGAAGAAAUAACGAUAGAAAGACAUGUAUGGGAAGAGCAGGCAUGGAUCAGAGAGCAGAGCAUGGAGGAUCUGAACACUGUUACUGGCUAUUUUUUUCUACUUCUCUGUGUAUCCUGGGUUGCAAUCAGGGCAGGGCAGAACAGACACAGUCCUGACAAGAAACAGGGAAGGGUUGAACAUCCCUCCUACUAUCCACCCCAUGCAAACACAGCCUUGGCAUCCGRGACAAAACAAAAGUCAGGCCGGUAUCGCAGCAGGGAGGUGGGAAACAUGAGCUAAGAGUGGAGCAGCACACCUUCACCUGCUUGGAGGAACCGGUGGGUGUUGAGAUGCUGCUUGAUUCGAGGCCUUGGCCACAUGCUGUGCUCCCUGGGAUGAGCGUCAAAUCAUCUGCACAUCACAUGAAAGUCUCAAAGUCUCAGCAAAGGCAGAGUGCUCUCAGGAAACCAGUCUGCUGUGGCUCUGUGAUGGCCGAGCAGCCCCACGGCAUGGUGUCUGCACCUUGCUGGGCAGGCUUUCCCAGGGGCUAUGUGCUUGCUUUCCUACCACCUAGACCCUCAUGGGUAAAAACUGCUCUACCGUUCCUCAGAACAUGUCUCAGCCUUGUGGUUUUGCAGGGCAAAGCAAAGCAACUGAGAAGCUGGUUGGAAAUAAACAGUGAUUUGGGGUGGUUUGGGGCA
This 2283-nucleotide long non-coding RNA is filed under the name Dromaius novaehollandiae (emu). Its description in RNAcentral is "lncRNA (ENSDNVG00000000745.1)". Lineage: Eukaryota; Metazoa; Chordata; Aves; Casuariiformes; Dromaiidae. The record is from RNAcentral.